GCCAGACUCCUACGGGAGGCAGCAGUGGGGAAUAUUGCACAAUGGGGGAAACCCUGAUGCAGCGACGCCGCGUGAGUGAAGAAGUAUUUCGGUAUGUAAAGCUCUAUCAGCAGGAACGAGACAAGACGGUACCUGACUAAGAAGCCCCGGCUAACUACGUGCCAGCAGCCGCGGUAAUACGUAGGGGGCAAGCGUUAUCCGGAAUCACUGGGUGUAAAGGGAGCGUAGACGGCUGUGCAAGCCUGAAGUGAAAGGCGGGGGCCCAACCCCCGGACUGCUUUGGGAACUGUACGGCUGGAGUGCAGGAGAGGUAAGUGGAAUUCCUGGUGUAGCGGUGAAAUGCGUAGAUAUUAGGAGGAACACCGGUGGCGAAGGCGGCUUGCUGGACGGUAACUGACGUUGAGGCUCGAAAGCGUGGGGAGCAAACAGGAUUAGAUACCCUGGUA
RNAcentral lists this ribosomal RNA (446 nucleotides) under uncultured bacterium. RNAcentral describes it as "bacterial SSU rRNA". It matches the Rfam family "Bacterial small subunit ribosomal RNA", at positions 330 to 792 of the family's 1533-position model. The record is from RNAcentral.